Cyprinus carpio carpio is the source of this 804-nucleotide long non-coding RNA. NCBI's taxonomy places the organism in Eukaryota, Metazoa, Chordata, Actinopteri, Cypriniformes, Cyprinidae. The record is from Ensembl.
CAACAGUGUGUCUGCCACUUGGAUGUACAGUCCAUUGUAUUACUCCAGUGAGGGUUUCGCUUUCAGGCUCUCUUAAAAGUGUAUGAGAAUUACCUUUCAGUAUAUGUUGGUCUGGUAUCUGGUGCAUAUGAUGACCAGUUGCAGUGGCCUUGUCUAUGGAGAAAAAUAACCUUCCAGAUACUUGACCAGAAUCCACACAUACAGAAGCACAUGUCCUCUGAGAAAAGCUUCACGACUGACCCUACUUUGGUUUCUUCCUAUGGCAGAAAUGACUGGGACAAUCCUCGAAAUAAUGGAACUCGAGUUGUCAUUGGCAAUGAGACCGUAUAUGUGGGUAUUUUUUGGGGCUAUCAACAUGCCAUAAUGAACGAAGAUCUCACUAAAAGAGAGUUUAUCAAGGGUGAUGACAUCAUAUUUCUCUUCAGCAUGCAAGAUAUUUCAGGGCUAUUUCAAUCUGAGUUUUUACCCUGCCCAAAAGUGACAAUAAUGGAUUUCAACGUUUCUUCUCAUUCAACUGCCCAGCAGGGAUCAUGUGCUACAAGAGCUCUUCCCACACCUCAAACAAUCUCAACCACCUCUACAUCACAACCCACUGAGGGUGAAUGCCUAGACAUAUUUUGCAGUUCCAGUGCCAAGACUGUUUCCUCUCUGAUCCUCGUGGUGGUGUGUUUCUUUUUCUGGUGAAUCAAACAUGAGAAAUCACUAUUAACCAUCACCCAGUGUCUGACUACACAAGAAUUCAAUGUCAAAGCAAUACAUCGGUCUUCAGCUUUCUGGUUUAUAAUACAAUUAGCUUGAUACCAU